Mirounga angustirostris (Northern elephant seal) is the source of this 2446-nucleotide long non-coding RNA. RefSeq lists it as uncharacterized. Lineage: Eukaryota; Metazoa; Chordata; Mammalia; Carnivora; Phocidae. The transcript has 2 exons. The record is from RefSeq and is a predicted model, not a curated record.
CUGAGAGUGACCUGGGGGCUCAUCUCUCUCCCUUACUGAACUUUCCUCUUCCUUUACCAUUAAACGACCUCGGUUCCCAGGCCCUUUGCUUUUGAAGUAGGUCUUUGGUCCUGCUAGGGUGUAGACACCUCGACUUUAUGGCUAGUACAGUCGAAAAGCCCAAGCGUGGGAUUCGAUCCAACUUGCUCAAAAAGUUCAAUGCAAAAAUGUACAUGCGGACCCCCCCCCCCCCCACACACACACAGCCCGGCUGCCCCGGUAUUCCCUGAGAGCAAGAUUAUUUACAUACAUCCGCGCUCACGGGCCUUCCCCCAGCCCUUCUUUAGCCUCCCAGUCCCCCUAAAUCUCCUCAGCGAAACCAAAACAGUUUUGAGCCCCUUCCCUGCGGCUCCGGAAGCACCAUUUCCAACUCGGUCCCAGCAGCUCCGCUCCUCCCCCGUCCCCCCUCGCCCUGGCCCUUGGCGGGGCGGGGAAGUCGGGGUAGGGGCGAGACCACGAGGAGCCCAAAGGCAGCAACAUGCCGGAAUCUUCCCAGAGUAAGCGCUGUCGCCUUUUGCCCCUUUCCAGUCCCUUGCUUGGCCCGGCGCUUCCUUUCACUCUCUCUUGCUCCCAAGGCGGCGCCGCUGGAAGGGCUCCGCAGAGGGGUUCGCGGCGCGCACACAAAGGGCGCUGGGGAGGCGCGGCGGGAGCCGACAGCGGGGCGCUGACGGGUCCCGCGCAGCCCCAGCCGACCCCAGAGGCCAGCUCUUCCCGGUCGAGAGCCAAGCGCCGGGGCGGCCGCUGCCGAGGGCGGGGCGGAGGGUGCCUGUCCUUUGGGAGGUGGCUGCCCGGGGGGCAGUUGGGGCGCGCGUGGGAAACGCUCCCGGAGAGUUGGGGAGGAAUUGAGGUGGAAGCCGAGGAAGGAGGGGCCGGAGCGGAGAGUGGAGGCGGGCGGAUGCCCUGAAGCCUGAGGAGUUGGUGGGAAGCCGCUGGCGCGGGCAAAGGCUUCUGCACGCGGACUCCGACUGCCUCCAGGACGCGCCUCUUUGGAGAAGAGUCCCGAACCCGCCGCCGCCGCCGCCGCCGCCUCCAGGCAGCGGCCGUCGGGCAGCUGGCGCGGGCUGCCUUGGCCGCCAGGAAAGCGCUCUCAAGGCGGUGAUGGUGGAGCGGCCGGCCGAGGCCCGGCGCUGGGCUCCCCCCCGCCGGCGGUCGGCCUCCGCUCUGCCGGGCGCUCCCCGCCAGGGGGCGGCGCAGCGCGGAGCGAGCGGGCUGCGGCGGGCGGCGGCCCGGUGGCGGGGUCGGUAAGGGAGCAGGCGUCGAGUCACCGCCUCCCCUGGGCACGUCGUCGCCCCCCGGCGCCUCCCGGAGUCCAGAGUCUGCGGAGGCCGCGUGGUCUGCACGUCGACCUUCCUAUGUUUGCUGUGUUGCCCUUUGGAGACAAAACAAGGCAAAAGCUUGAGAAUAUUUGACAUAUAAUGGAAAUAGGAGUUACUAAUGAGGACCAGUUUUUAUGACCGCUUGGAUCAAAGUCCAGAAACCGAAGUUUUACACUUCCAUGUAACUUUCUAUGAGAGACUUUUUACUUGACACUGCAAAACUGUGCUGAAUUAGUUGACAUUCUGGGUCCUGUGUUUGAGACUUUUUUCUUUUCUCUUUUCUUUCUUUCAUAUUUUUUUCUUAUCUCUAAAAGCUGUAACAUUUUUAUUGGCAAGAUAUUUGUAUUAAAAUCAGAUGAUGGAUAUAAAAUAAAUAUUGCCAUCCACUUUUUAAAAACACUGUUUCUGUAAUUACAUAGGAAUAUAGUUUUCAAUUUUCAAACAAAUGAUUUGUUAAGCAUAUUUUAUUAAGCUGUCAGUAGUGUUGAAGAUAAUAAAACCCUGUGGUUAUUGACUCAGUGUGACUUUAAUAUUAUUUAUAAUAUUUUUUAUGAUGGUAAUUCUGAUGCAGGAAUGACCUUUUCUUUUUGUAUUGUUUAUAAACAGGGUUCAUAUGGUCAGCUUUAAGCUGCUUUUUUAGUGCCCUGAAAGUACUCAUGUGUAUCAGAUUCUUUCCUCCUAAAAGAAGCUGUAGGAGCCCUUAUAAUGAUGUUUCCCAUUGCCCUUCUAUCGCUAGUGUUCUCAGGGUUUCAAAUUCAGAUCCAUUUUAGAGUCUGCAAUGCAAGGUCAUGAUUCCUAACAAUGUGGUAGAAUUAAUGCAGUGGCAAUUAUUCAUAGUUGCAUAUCUCAAAAUAAAUCUAUUUGCUUAGCUAACAAAAACUUAAGUAGGCAUAUAGUACAAUUCAGUAGCUUUUUUUCAGAUCUGUGAAAAUGGCUGAUAUUUUCAUAAGAUCAUGUUUUCAACACCUCAAGGUGUACAAUUUUUAGCAUUUUGAAUAUGGUGUGCAACAAAAUUUUCUUUUAAAGUAAUUCCACCUAAAUAUUUAAGUAUUUAAAAUAUCUGAAACUGACCCUCCCCCCUCUCAUGUGCU